Molecule: ribosomal RNA, 409 nt
Filed under: uncultured bacterium
Lineage: Bacteria
Description: bacterial SSU rRNA
Rfam family: Bacterial small subunit ribosomal RNA
Source: RNAcentral
AGUGGCGGACGGGUGAGUAACGCGUGGGUAACCUGCCUCAGUACAGGGGGAUAACAGUCGGAAACGAUUGCUAAAACCGCAUAACAUAGCGAAACCGCAUGAUUUUGCUAUCAAAUAGUUUAUAGGUAUGAGAUGGGCCCGCGUCUGAUUAGCUAGUUGGUGGGGUAAUGGCCUACCAAGGCGACGAUCAGUAGCCGGCUUGAGAGAGUGACCGGCCACAUUGGGACUGAGACACGGCCCAAACUCCUACGGGAGGCAGCAGUGGGGAAUAUUGGACAAUGGGGGAAACCCUGAUCCAGCCGACGCCGCGUGAGUGAAGAAGUAUUUCGGUAUGUAAAGCUCUAUCAGCAGGGAAGAUAAUGACAGUACCUGACUAAGAAGCCCCGGCUAACUACGUGCCAGCCGCCGC